AGAAUGCUGCUGUCUCGUGUACUUACUGUUAAGCAUCCUGGAAAAGGGAGUGGUUCCUCCUAGCUGCAAACAAGGGCGCUACUUUUCUUUUCUCUUUAAUAGAAUUACGUUUUAUAGGUGUGUCUAGGCAACACAAGGGAAUGUGAAAGACUUUCAGAGGGAAUGUUUGUGAAUACAUCUGGUGUGUACUAAAAAGCUGGAAAACCCCUAAGUAAAUGCAAUAUCGAUAGAAAGCGAGUUUCUUGAAGAGUCAUCUGCUAAACUCCACUACAGUCAUCUCUACAGAUGCAACUGACUCACUUAAAAUAGCUGUGUGGAUAUAGAACUUUUAUCAACUACUAUUUACUAAAUUAUAUUGGUGUGUUUGUCCUCAUCUUAGAAUAGCAUAUCAAUAGAUGCUAUAAAAACAUAAGAGGGUGUGGUUAAGAGAAAAAAAAAUUGCCAUUAAGGAAUCAGCAAAUAGGAUGUCUGAAGUGAGGAUAUAGCACCUAUCUCUGAGAUUAAAGUCAUCUGAUCAAAAAUGAUGCCUCUGAGACUAUAACAAAGGAAUGAAUAAUGAAAUAUAAGAAUGGGGAUUCU
RNAcentral lists this long non-coding RNA (579 nucleotides) under Pan troglodytes (chimpanzee). RNAcentral describes it as "lincRNA". Lineage: Eukaryota; Metazoa; Chordata; Mammalia; Primates; Hominidae. The record is from RNAcentral.